Long non-coding RNA from Osmerus eperlanus (European smelt), 2340 nucleotides. RefSeq lists it as uncharacterized. The transcript has 4 exons. The record is from RefSeq and is a predicted model, not a curated record. NCBI's taxonomy places the organism in Eukaryota, Metazoa, Chordata, Actinopteri, Osmeriformes, Osmeridae.
GCUUGGAAAUACCUUUUACUUAUUAAAAUACAAUAGUUUAUAUGGCAUGGUUGUCGACUGUUCCUUUGGUCAAACACACGGGUUCCUCCCUCUCAGAACGAACCAAUUGAGUUCCUAGACUUACAACUAGGUGGCGUAGUCGGCACCUCACUACACGUCGGCCACAAAGGCACCCAACUUGUGGCACACCGCACGCUUAAAACAACCAUAGCCGCACCUCCAACAUCGGGAGCAAGAGAACAGUUUAUAGUACUCGGGGGUCCGAGGUCUGGGAUGUUGCAGGGCUGGCCCCGAGUGCGAGUGGCUCGCCCACACAGUGCUGGCAACAAACGGAGUUGAAGCAGGCUAGUUGACAAACAGGUCCUCCUGGUCGUUCACAGAACAGUUUACAACCGUCCUUCGUCCCGGCUCUCUCCGACUGUAGACAGCCCGUAAUCCCAAAACGUCCUUAACUGCACCUGGUCGACCGAUCGCGUCCGGUCUACUCUUCUCCGUAUUCCGUUCUGCCCCCUUGCCGACAUGUCGGCCCUUUUCUCCUCUCCGCGGCUGCAUUACCACGCCGCUGAGGAUCCAAUCAUGACAGGACCGGCAGCUUCUCCAUCCAGUCCUCCCACAUCAGUCCAUACACACGACACUUGCAUUGUCCUGGGAACGUCAUUGUUUGGAAUGGAAUGACUUUGUAUAAUACAGUGUACUUGAUAAACAAAGCACUUUGACUGUUUGACUUUAGUCGACAGAUAAAACUCUCAGCAUUCUGUAGUUUGAUAUCACUCGUAUGGUAGUUAGGGCCUUCCUUUUACGUUUUUUCAGCAGCCUGUUUGCUAAUGCUUUCAAAUAAUGUCCACAUAUGUUGUUUUCUGUUGUGUCUGUGUGUCUGUGUUAUUUAUUUCUUGAAGAUCAUAUUAGUAUUUUCUCCUCCGUGAAAGGCAACCCCAACUUGAAGGCGGGACUUUUUCAAUUCUGUAAUAACUUGCACUGGUCGAUGAGAGAACCUGGUAUCAGCAGCUGAGAGGCUCUGGAAAAAGCGGAGGAUACAAAGAUAAUAAUAGCCUAAGGAAAACUACCCACAGCGGGAUCAACUUAAGAUCAGCGCAUCGACAAGCAAUAGAGGCAACAAGUAAAAGUAUAGAAAGUGGGAGAAGAAGAGUGCACAAUAUAAUAUAUUUUAUUAAUUCGUCUGUGUACAAGUUGACCAACUAAUUAGUAAGGAUGGAACGUAGGCCUACUGUGUUUUGGGAUUCAAUGAAAAUCCCAUACCCUGUGAACAUCAAGGAAAACGAUAAAAAAAGAAAAACAUUCAAAAAUAAAUUUCUAGUUUUAAACCAUGAACGUCUAUAUGCUGAUGCCUCAGUCGACGGGGAAUGGGUGACCAACUUGAUUUUUUUCACAAGCCGUCCCAAAGUUUGGCAAGAAAGCAUAUGUAGGACCUAUGACGUCACAAGAGUUAAACCAAGAGUUAUUAACCAUGGCAGUCAAGUGACCAUACGUAACGACACAGGAUCUAAAUUCCUAGAUAUAAAUAUUUAUGAUACUGGAAGAGUCGUAAUUAAUGGGGAUGACCCAAAUCUUUGGGAGUUUAAAAGCACAUUUUUAGAGUUAAAGACAAAGAUAGCAGAAUCAGACCACAUGCCAAAAAGUGAGGAGUCUGAUGAGGAGGAAAAGGUGGAGGCCAAGGAGGAGAAGAACCCUCCUGCUCAGCCAGACCCUGCAACUAACCUUGACAUGGAGAAUCUCAGAAUUGUGACCCCUUAAAAUUGUUUGUGAUGUUGCACUGUGCUGUGUGUGCUGCACCAUACUAUGUAAUAAUAUAAUGUGAUAUUCUCUUUAUAUUCUUCUCUACUGCUAGCUACUUUAAUUAAGAUGUUAUUGUUGCACAGUAGUUCAAAUUGAAAUGUUAUUAUUGCACUGUGAUGAGCAUUUUGUUCACCAUGCCUGGUGGCUAAGAUGUGUUCGCUUCGCGAUGUGGCUGGUAAAUAUAAAGCCUUCCUAGACCUUGACCACCGAAAUACUGUUGGAACUGUACUACACUUUUGAUCAUUGAUCUUCUGCUGUAAUUUUUGUAAGCAUCAAUUUAUGCCUCACCUUAAAUGCAUUCAUGUAAGUAACUUGGGUAAUGUAAGCAUCUACUAAAUGAAUGAAAUGAUGUUGUUGAGAUGUUUAUGUCUGCCUGUAGUUUAUGUUAUCUUUGAACUCUGCCUGGUAAAAUACAGAUCAUUGGCUCUAACUGCUGAAAUAGGCUGUUUUGAUAACUUUGUUUUUCUGAUCCUUGAAUUUCGGCUGUACUUUCUCCAUGCACUAUUUGUAUGUCGCUUUGAAUUAAUAAAAAUGUAAGAAAGUUAA